AUGGAUGUGGCUCAGCGGUAGAGCACUCGCCUAGCACGCACAGGUCCAUGGGUUGGAUCCUCAGCACCACAUA
This 73-nucleotide transfer RNA is filed under the name Marmota monax (woodchuck). RNAcentral's name for it is "tRNA.Ala". Lineage: Eukaryota; Metazoa; Chordata; Mammalia; Rodentia; Sciuridae. The record is from RNAcentral.